UAAAAAAUUUGGCGGUAUUUUAGUCUAUUCAGAGGAACCUGUUCUGUAAUCGAUAAUCCACGAUGGACCUUACUUAAAUUUGUGUAGUUUAUAUACCGUCGUUAUUAGAAUAUUUUAUAAGAAUGUAAAUUUUCUUAAGUUUUAAUAAGAAAAUAUAUCAGAUCAAGGUGUAGCUAAUAUUUAAGUAGAAAUGGGUUACAAUUAAUUUAUUAAAAAUGAAUAUAAAUUUGAAAUAUUUAUUGAAGGUGGAUUUGAUAGUAAAAUUAUAAAGAUUAAUAAUUUGAUUUUAGCUCUAAAAUAUGUACACAUCGCCCGUCACUCUUAUUAUUAAGGUAAGAUAAGUCGUAACAUAGUAGAUGUACUGGAAAGUGUAUCUAGAAUGCAAUUUAAAGCUUAAAUAGUAAAGUAUUUCAUUUACAUUGAAAAGGUUUUUGUGCAAAUCAAUAUAAAUUGAUUAGUUAUUAUUUAUUAAUUAGUAUUCGAUUAAGUAUUUUUAUAUUAAAAAUAAUUAUAAAGUUUAAUGUUUAAGUAUUAUAUAAAGAAAAAAUAAUUUUAAUUAUAGUUAAAUAGUAUUG
Molecule: ribosomal RNA, 575 nt
Filed under: Phaonia alpicola
Lineage: Eukaryota; Metazoa; Arthropoda; Insecta; Diptera; Muscidae
Description: partial 12S ribosomal RNA
Rfam family: tRNA (bases 383-454)
Source: RNAcentral